AAAGCUUGCAGGUAAAGAGGUGUUGGACUGUGAGGUGUAGCGGAUAGUUCGGAUCGGGUGGCCAACGUCUUGACCAUGAAGGUAGGAAACUCGGUGCGAAUAACAUCGGCUGUAUAGUGGUGAAAAGGAAUUCUGGGGUGACCUCUGUUUGUUGUCUCUUGCAUCACUUGAGGACAAGCAAUGAGAUAAGUUUGGGGUUGUGAUCGGUCACCAUUUUACUUGAU
This 224-nucleotide long non-coding RNA is filed under the name Lathyrus oleraceus (garden pea). Its description in RNAcentral is "Pisum sativum (pea) long non-coding RNA (PSAT_LNC037385)". The record is from RNAcentral. Lineage: Eukaryota; Viridiplantae; Streptophyta; Magnoliopsida; Fabales; Fabaceae.